GCACGACAAAGCCCUUUAUAUAACCAUCUGAGGCAUGCUCCAACCAAACUGUACUCGCUUAUUCUAUAUAGAUUAGCAAGUAGUGGUAGGAACAUCAAGUUUACUCGCGAUGCAUUCAUAUUGGGAAAUAAUGUACCACCGAUUAUUCUAAGUAUAUAAGCUCUUACUUGUCUUUGUACAAUAAUAUCAUUUUGUGUAGUAAAUGUGCAAACUUUUGACAUUGUCAAUGCAAUUUAAUAGUGUUUUCCUUAAUUAUUUGGGUUGAAGGCAGUAUUCCUAAUAGUUCAUUGCAUAUAAAUUCUAAGUUAAUUCGAAAAUUUACCACAACUUGCUUCAUUGUCAAUCGGUAAACCUGAUAUUAACCUCAUAUCCUAGAGUGUGAUGGUUAUCUCACCCUUAGGCAUCAUAAAUGUGUGCGUAUUUGGGCACCAUCUCUCAACAAGUGUUGUGAUAAGAUGAUGGUUGAGGGCAAAAUCCAAGUCUUGCUAACUACUCGCUCUUAGUAAUGGUUCGAUGUAGUGAUCAAUCUCUUGAUGGUGCAUAAAUGAUCUUACAUGUUUGCAUUUUAAGACGUUUUUCGUGUUCCUGCAGGCACCUGCUCAUACCAAAUCGCCUCUGAUCUAUGACUUCAUUGUUGCCGUAGUACUGACUGAUCAGGUGGCAUGUACUCUCUCAUGUAUAGUCUAGAUGCCAUUUCUACAACUCAACUUAACUCAACUAAGUCUUUAUUCAAAAAAUUUGGGGUAGGCUAUAU
This 754-nucleotide unclassified non-coding RNA is filed under the name Hevea brasiliensis (rubber tree). The record is from RNAcentral. Lineage: Eukaryota; Viridiplantae; Streptophyta; Magnoliopsida; Malpighiales; Euphorbiaceae.